Molecule: ribosomal RNA, 254 nt
Filed under: uncultured bacterium
Lineage: Bacteria
Description: partial 16S ribosomal RNA
Rfam family: Bacterial small subunit ribosomal RNA
Source: RNAcentral
UACGUAGGGCGCAAGCGUUAUCCGGAAUUAUUGGGCGUAAAGAGCUCGUAGGCGGUUUGUCGCGUCUGCCGUGAAAGUCCGGGGCUCAACCCCGGAUCUGCGGUGGGUACGGGCAGACUAGAGUGAUGUAGGGGAGACUGGAAUUCCUGGUGUAGCGGUGAAAUGCGCAGAUAUCAGGAGGAACACCGAUGGCGAAGGCAGGUCUCUGGGCAUUAACUGACGCUGGAGGAGCGAAAGCAUGGGGAGCGAACAGG